GGAAUAUAGCUUAGUUGGUAGAGUGUUUGCCUUAUACGCACAAAGCCAUGAGUUCAAUCCCCAGCACCA
RNAcentral lists this transfer RNA (69 nucleotides) under Marmota monax (woodchuck). Its description in RNAcentral is "tRNA.Ile". The record is from RNAcentral. Lineage: Eukaryota; Metazoa; Chordata; Mammalia; Rodentia; Sciuridae.